UGUUUUUUGUUUUUGUUUCUGUUUAUUAAUAAAUUUUGCAUCUACCUUAUGUUUAUAUGUGUUUUUAUGUUUUAGUUAGUGUUUGUGCCAAGUAGAACCUAUAGGAUAACCUAUGGUGAUAGUUAAUUUGAUUCUGCUGGAAAGAAGAAACUUUGCGCGCACGAAAUUAGUUUUGUUAAAUCACAUAAACGUGAUUUUGCAUUGAUUAUUUUUGCUUCUGAUCAAUAGAUAAAUUGUAAAUGACUUCCUAUUUUGGUAGGAUUUUUAGAGUUCCCGAAGUUUGCGUUAGUUAUAGAUUGCUACAGACUGUUCUGUUUUUGACAGAUUCUGUUUUUCGUGAGUUGUUUGCUUAUUUUGAUGCAUCUAUGGCUAGUAUUAAGUGGUAUGUGAUAUCUCCAACGUAUCUAUAAUUUUUGAUUGUUCCAUGCUAUUAUAUUACCCUAAUUGGAUGUUUAUGGGCUUUAUUUUACACAUUUAUAUCAUUUUUGGGACUAACCUACUAACCGGAGGCCCAGCCCAUAUUGCUGUUUUAUUGCCUAUUUUAGUAUUUCGAAGAAAAGGAAUAUCAAAUGGAGUCCAAAUGGAAUGAAACCUUCGGGAGCGUGAUUUUUGGAACGAACGUGAUCCAGAGGACUUGGAGUGCGAGUCAAGAAGCAGCCGAGGCUCCCACGAGAUAGGAGGGCGCCCCCCCCAUAGGGCGCGCCCCGCUGUCUCGUGGGUCCCUCGAGCGGCCACCGACGUACUUCUUCCUCCUAUAUAUACCUACGUACCCCGAAAACAUCCAGGAGCAGGACGAAACACAAUUUCCACCACCGUAACCUUCUGUAUCCGCGAGAUCUCAUCUUGGAACCUUCGCCGGCACUCUGCCGGAGGGGGAAUCGACCAUGGAGGGCUUCUACAUCAACAUCCUUGCCCCUCCGAUGAUUUGUGAGUAGUUUACCACAGACCUAUGGGUCCAUAGUUAUUAGCUAGAUGGCUUCUUCUCUCUUUUUGGAUCUCAAUACAAUGUUCUCCCCCUCUCUUGUGGAGAUCUAUUCGAUGUAAACUCUUUUUGCGGUGUGUUUGUCGAGAUCCGAUGAAUUGUGGGUUUAUGAUCAAGUUUAUCUAUGAAUAAUAUUUGAAUCUUCUCUGAAUUCUUUUAUGUAUGAUUGAGUUAUCUUUGCAAGUCUCUUCGAAUUAUCAGUUUGGUUUGGCCUACUAGAUUGAUCUUUCUUGCCAUGGGAGAAGUGCUUAGCUUUGGGUUCAAUCUUACGGUGUCCUUACCCAGUGACAGAAAGGGUUGCAAGGCACGUAUUGUAUAGUUGCCAUCGAGGAUAACAAGAUGGGGUUUAUAUCAUAUUGCAUGACUCUACAUCAUGUCAUCUUGCUUAAUGUGUUACUCUGUUCCUUAUGAACUUAAUACUCUAGAUGCAGGCAGGAGUCGGUCGAUGUGUGGAGUAAUAGUAGUAGAUGCAGGCAGGAGUCGGUCUACUUGUCAUGGACGUGAUGCCUAUAUACAUGAUCAUGCCUAGAUGAUCUCAUCAUUAUUCGCUUUUCUAUCAAUUGCUCGACAGUAAUUUGUUCACCCACCGUAAUACUUAUGUUAUCUUGAGAGAAAACACUAGUGAAACCUAUGGCCCCCGGGUCUAUCUCUUAUCAUAUUUGCUUCCAAUUUACUUUUAUUUGCAUCUUUACUUUUUGCAUCUAUAUUAUAAAAUACCAAAAUAAUAUCUAUCUUAUCUUACUACCUUUAUUAGAUCUCACUUUCGCAAGUGGCCGUGAAGGGAUUGACAACCCCUUUAUUGUGUUGGUUGCGAGUUCUUUGUUUGUUUGUGUAGGUGCGUGGGACUUUUGAGGAGCCUCCUACUAGAUUGAUACCUUGGUUCUCAAAAACUGAGGGAAAUACUUACGCUACUAUUGCUGCAUCACCCUCUCCUCUUCGAGGAAAACCAACGCAAGCUCAAGACGUAGCAAGAAGGAUUUCUGGCGCCGUUGCCGGGGAGGUCUUCGCUCAAGUCAAGACAUACCAAGUACCCAUCACAAAUCCAUCUCCCUCGCAUUUACAUUAUUUGCCAUUUGCCUCUCGUUUUCCUCUCCCCCACUUCACCCUUGCCGUUUUAUUCGCCCUCUCUUUCCCAAUCUCCUCCUCUCUUUUUGCUUGCCUUUUUCUGUUUGCUUGUGUGUCGGAUUACUUGCUGCCAUGGCGCAAGAUAAUACCAAAUUGUGUGAUUUUUCAAAUACCAAUAAUAAUGAUUUCCUUAGUACUCCUAUUGCUCCUCUUAAUGAUGUUGAGUCUUGUGAAAUCAAUACUGCUUUGCUGAAUCUUGUUAUGAAAGAUCAAUUCGCCGGCCUUCCUAGUGAAGAUGCCGCUACUCAUCUAAACAACUUUGUUGAUUUGUGUGAUAUUCAGAAGAAGAAAGAUACGGAUAACAAUAUUGUCAAAUUGAAGUUAUUUCCGUUUCCACUUAGAGAUCGUGCUAAAGUUUGGUUUUCGUCUUUGCCUAAAAAUAGUAUUGAUUCUUGGAACAAGUGCAAAGAUGCUUUUAUCUCUAAGUAUUUUCCUCCUGCUAAGAUUAUCACUCUUAGGAAUGACAUUAUGAAUUUUAAACAACUUGAUCAUGAGCAUGUUUCCCAAUCUUGGGAAACAAUGAAAUUGAUGCUUCGCAAUUGCCCUACUCAUGGUUUGAAUUUAUGGAUGAUCAUACAAAAAUUUUAUGCCGGUUUGAACUUUGCUUCUAGAAAUCUCUUAGAUUCGGCUGCGGGAGGCACGUUUAUGGAAAUCACGUUAGGAGAUGCUACAAAACUUCUUGAUAAUAUUAUGGCUAAUUAUUCUCAAUGGCACACCGAAAGAUCUUCUAGUAAAAAAGUGCAUGCUGUAGAAGAAAUCAAUGUUUUGAGUGGAAAGAUGGAUGAACUUAUGAAGAUGUUUUCUACUAAAAAUACUCCUCUUGAUCCCAAUGAUAUGCCUUUGUCUUCUUUGAUUGAGAAUAAUAAUGAAUCUAUGGAUGUGAAUUUUGUUGGUAGGAAUAGUUUUGGAAACAAUGCUUAUAGAGGAAACUUUAAUGCUAGUCCGUUCCCUAGUAAUUCCUCUAAUAAUUAUGGAAAUUCCUACAAUAAUUCUUAUGGUAAUCUUAAUAAGAUGCCCUCUGAUUUUGAGAAUAGUGUGAAAGAAUUUAUGAUUUCUCAAAAGAAUUUUAAUGCUUUGCUUGAAGAAAAAUUGCUCAAAGUUGAUGAUUUGGCUAGGAACGUUGAUAGACUUUCGCUUGAUGUUGAUUCUCUCAAACUUAGAUCUUCUCCUCCUAAGCAUGAUAUCAAUGAGUCUCUCAAAGUAAUGAGAAUUUCCAUUGACGAGUGCAAGAAAAGAACCGCUAGAUUGCGUGCUAAAAAAGAUAGCUUUAUAAAAGUGUGUUCUUCUAGUUUACAUGAAAAUAAUGAUGAGGAUCUUAAAGUUAUUGAUGCGUCUCCUAUUAGAUCUAUGUUUUGCAAUAUGAAUUUGGAUGAUUAUGGUACUGAUGAUGAAUCAACUUUGCCUAGAAGGCGUCCAAAGAAUUCGGAGUUUUUAGAUCUUGAUGCUAAAUUUGGUAAAAGUAGGAUUGGAGAGUCCUCAACUUCAAAUAACAUUGAACCUACUAUCUCGGAUUUCAAGGAAUUUGAUUAUGAUAAUUGUUCUUUAAAAGGUUGUAUUUCCUUGUUGCAAUCCGUUGUUAAUUCUCCUCAUGCUUAUAGUCAAAAUAAAGCUUUUAUCAAACAUAUUGUUGAUGCCUUGAUGCAAUCUUAUGAUGAAAAACUUAAUUUGGAAGUUUCUAUACCUAGAAAACUUAAUGAUGAGUGGGAACCUACUAUAAAGAUUAGAAUUAAAGAUCAUGAGUGUUUUUCUUUGUGUGAUUUGGGUGCUGGUGUUUCCACAAUUCCGAAAACUUUAUGCGAUAUUCUAGGUUUCCAUGAUCUUGAUGAUUGCUCUUUAAAUUUGCACCUUGCGGACUCCACCAUUAAAAAGCCUAUGAGAAGGAUCAAUGAUGUUCUCAUUGUUGCAAAUAGAAAUUUGGUGCCCGUGGAUUUUAUCGUUCAUGAUAUAGAUUGCAAUCUUUCUUGCCCUAUUAUUCUUGGUAGACCUUUCCUUAGAACGAUUGGCGCGAUUAUUGAUAUGAAGGAAGGGAAUAUUAGAUUCCAAUUUCCAUUAAAGAAAGGCAUGGAGCACUUUCCAAGAAAUAAAGUCAAAUUACCUUAUGAAUCUAUCAUGCGGGCUACUUAUGAAUUUAGUGCCAAAGAUGGCACUCGUUAGAUCUAUCUUUGCUUUUAUACCUAGCUAGGGGCGUUAAACGAUAGCGCUAGUUCGGGUCCAUAGUUAUUAGCUAGAUGGCUUCUUCUCUAUUUUUGGAUCUCAAUACCAUAUUCUCCCCCUCUCUUGUGGAGAUCUAUUUGAACUCUUUUUGUGGUGUGUUUGUCGAGUUCUGAUGAAUUGUGGGUUUAUGAUCAAGUUUAUCUAUGAGAAAUAUUUGAAUCUCCUCUGAAUUCUUUUAUGUAUGAUUGAGUUAUCUUUGCAAGUCUCUUCGAAUUAUCAGUUUGGUUUGGCCUACUAGAUUGAUCUUUCUUGCCAUGGGAGAAGUGCUUAGCUUUGGGUUCAAUCUUGCGGUGUCCUUACCCAGUGACAUAAAGGGUUACAAGGCACGUAUUGUAUUGUUGCCAUCGAUGAUAAAAAGAUGGGGUUUAUAUCAUAUUGCUUGAGUUUAUCCCUCUACAUCAUGUCAUCUUUCUUAAUGCGUUACUCUGUUCUUAUGAACUUAAUACUCUAGAUGCAUGCUGGAUAGCGGUCGAUGUGUGGAGUAAUAGUAGUAGAUGCAGGCAGGAGUCGGUCUACUUUUCGCGGACGUGAUGCCUAUGUACAUGAUCAUGCCUAGAUAAUCUCAUAAUUAUUCGCUUUUCUAUCAAUUGCUCGACAGUAAUUCGUUCACCCACCGUAAUACUUAUGCUAUCUUGAGAGAAGCCAUUAGUGAAACCUAUGGCCCCCGGGUCUAUCUUUUAUCAUAUAAGCUUUCAAUCUACUUUUAUUUGCAUCUUUACUUUUCCUAUCUAUAUUAUAAAAUACCAAAAAUAUAUUUAUCUUAUCAUACUAUCUCUAUCAGAUCUCACUUUUGCAAGUGGCCGUGAAGGGAUUGACAACCCCUUUAUUGCGUUGGUUGCGAGUUCUUUGUUUGUUUGUGUAGGUGUGUGGGACUUUUGAGGAGCCUCCUACUGGAUUGAUACCUUGGUCCUCAAAAACUGAGGGAAAUAUUUACGCUCAUAUUGCUGCAUCACCCUUUCCUCUUCAAGGAAAACCAACGCAAGCUCAAGACGUAGCACCCGCCGCCGGCAUGCAGGAACUAAAUUGAAGUUUCUGCAAGACUAUGGUGCACCAUGGUUGGAUCUGACGCAAAUCCAGCUCACCGAGGAGGCCUGCUUCGAGAACAUCCGCGGCCUCUACUCCAGCAUGACGGCAAUGAGCUCCCAUGCUGGGCACUCCUUUGACGAUUUUUGCAAACUGAAACUAUGUUUUUGAAACAUGUGUCAUGUUGCAAAUGUUUGGCCUCAUACGCUCUAACAUUGUGUGCUCCUCCAACGCUUUUUGCAACCAGGGCUAUGUUUCUAAAGCAAGACCCAUGUUGCAAAAAAAACCUCGCUGCCGAACUACUUUUUCUAAAACAAGACCUGUAUUGCAGAAAUUUUCUAAAUCUAGACCCUGUUGCUUAAAAAAAACUUCAGCACUGAACCGUUUUUUAUUUCUGAAACAAGAUCUUUGUUGCAGAAACCACUGAUCUCUGAAUCAUACCUGCUUGAGUCAUCGCCGGCCACCGCCGAUCCCGAGCAAGUCAUCGUCGCCACUGCGGUGGAUAAGGCCUGGUGGCACAACGCCUUGCGCCGCCACACCCGUCCGCCGGCUCCCAAAUCCAGUCGCUCGCCCUCUAAUCCAGACGAGCCCCGAACCCCUGCCCCCCUACGGUUACCCAGUUGCAGGAAUGACUGUCUUGAAACAACAGGUGAGUUGCAGAAAAACAGACGCGGCUUCGGCGAACGCGGGGACACUAUCGACCGUCUGAUCAACACACGAUCAAACGGCCACGGAGCCGGCGGACGGGCGCGCGCGACCGCCCGGUAGAAGGUAAGCUUUUUCCUUUCUUGUUUUAUCACUAGUUUGGUUUAUAAAAGAAAAAUAAAAACAUAUGGAACUGAGGUUGCCUCAUAUGCUUCGGCUUUUUAAUAUCUUCGUGAAAUGGUGGAAAGGAAAAUUGUGCCCAAUUGUUAGAAGAAGAAUUCAAUAAAAUGUUUGGCAUAAAAUCUUUGAAUGGUGAGCAUAUAUGCAAUGUUGUUAUUAUGAACUCUAUGAAUAUCCAAAAUACUAAUGAUGAUUGCACUAGUCAUGACAAAAAUGUUUCUUAUAAGCAUGUCAAUUUUUGUGGAGUGCAUAAAAUUUGUGAAGACAUGCCUUAUAGAGAUGAUAGAUUUUGUAAGAAGCAUAAACAAGAUAAAACCAAUUGGUGGUUUAAAGUGAUAGAUGAAUUUGCCACAAAAUUAUGCUUUGUUCAUCCCACCACUUGUGAAUUUUGCAAUAUGAUUGGUCAUCUUAAUUUCCAAUGCAAAUUUUUUCAUGAUCGAAUCGUGUCCAAAUAUUGUAAUGACUUGAUCACCCUUGAAAUUUAUAAUGAAUUUUGUUUAUUUUUGGGGUGUGAAGAAUAUUUAUGUGCAUUUUAAUUUAUUGGACCAAGAACUUUGUUUGAUAUGAUGCACUUUUGGUUGUAGGAUUAUAAAGUUUGAUUGAUAUGAUGCACUUUUGGUUGUAGAAAUCUGAAAAUAUUGCUUUACAUGAUGAGUUUGAUGUUCAAAUGCGCUUGUAUAUUAGCUGUACAUUGGUUGUACACAGCCGCGCAUCCGGUUUUACAUCUUCACAUAUGCACCAUCUAUUGGAGUUGGAGUUCUACAUCACAAAUCUAUUGGAGGCGACUAGCAAAAAUGCCCGUGCGUUGCAAUGGGAGGAAAAUAAUGACGGCAGGUGCAAGUACAUGUGUUAUGUGCAAGCACAAUGUCCCAUAAUGUCGGAUCAGUAUAAACCACAUGCUAAUUAUUUCAUCCAUCAAACUUCUAAAAAAUGCAACAUUCAGACCUUUAUCUACUACCUCUAUAAAAGCACGAGAGGGCGGAGAACCAAUUCAUCUCAUCCAUCCAAUUAAAGAAUCUAACGAUCCAAAUCAUCGGAAUGUUUAGCAUCAAACCACGGUUAGCUCAGCCCACUAAUCCCAUGAUCCACCCCUGUCAUCCGUCCCCCCGGCUCGAAGAAAAAAACCACGAGAGCACCAUGCUCUCUCGUCGGUUGCUCAUAUCCUGCUCCCGCAUGACCUCUCGCCCCCUCCUCCUCCUCCUCCUCCCGCCUCCUGCCUCUCCCUCCUCCGCUCCCUCCUGCUCCGCCUCCGUGCCAUUCCCCGCCCCCACCUCCCCACCCUCCUCUCCCUCGCCCUCCCCGGCAAAAACGGCAACGACGGCGGCGGUGGCAACAACAGCGGCGGCGGUGGGGAUGACGAAACAGGGGACGGCGGCGGCGAGUGGGGCGGCCACCGGGGGGAGGCGCUGUUCGUGCUGCCGCAGGCGGGGAGGAAGCUCUCCAGCCUGCCGGCGGACCUCGCCAUGGCCGUGGAGGGCGGCCGCGUCACGGGAUAUGGAGCGCUCGCCGCUGCUCCAUUGGCUGCUGGGCUUUAGAUGGUUCAGGGAGCGCCUCCUCGCCGACGACCUCUUCCUCGCCAAGCUCGCCAUGGAGAUGGGCGUCGGCAUGAUCGCCAAGGUCCGUGGGAUCGACAUGGAUGAAUCAUGAAUGCUUUCAAAUUAUACUUACGCGCAACCCUGCCGCGGCCACCGCUAGGGUGCCGGCGAGGGAUAGGCUCUGCUUUGCCCCCGCAUCUCCACCAGCUACCGCCGCGCCGCCGCUCCUCGCCAUGGAAGGUGCCCACGUUGCCGACCCUGUGCGCCGCCCGCGGCACAGCUGCAAGGUGGUGAUGUCCACCCCUGCGCUGGAGCACGCCACCUUCGUCCUCAAGCGCCAGGCGGUGCUGCUCACGGCGGCAGAUGCGCGCCGGCCCUCUAGUGCCAUGGCGGUCGGGCUGGAGCUCGAGGCGCGGCUGCGCAUCCCGCCGCACCAGCUGCGGAUCACCAGCCACGACCCGGAGGACUACCUCAUCAUCUUCGACCUGCCGAUCCAUCAAGACCAAGUUGUCAAGCUCGGCUCGCUGACAGUCGACGGCGCCAAGUUCUUCAUCAAGCGCUGGCACGAGGAUGACCACGCGGUGGUGCAAACCUUCAACUACCAUGUCCGGGUGGUCAUUGAGAAGAUGCCGCGGCAGUUCUGGUCCGUCGAGGGGGCGGAGGAGGCCCUGGGCUGCCGCGUCGACCGCCUCAACAGCCGCACCUUCGAGCGGAGCCACACCAAAAGAUUCGCCUGCUGGGUGUGGGUGUGGGAUGUUGGGCUCAUCCCGACCAAGCACACCUUCUGGCGGAUGGAGCGAGGGGCGGGCCGCGUGGAGGAGAUGCUCGGUUUCUCCCCGCCGGGACGCGUCAUUGCCACACCACCAUCUGCGAGCCGGCACGACGUCCUCAUCCACGUGGACCGCAUCGAAGACUGGUCGCCCUACGAGCCGCGGUCGCCGCGCUCGGCGCAGAGCGGCCUGCCUUCCUCGGAGUCUGACGACGACGACAGGCCCAUGCCGCGGAUCAUCCCCGUCGCCUCCUGGAAGAAAGGAGUGGAGGACGGUCAGCGCGACCCUCAGCACCGACGCCAGCUCGCCGUGCUCGCCGAUGUGGGCUGCCGCGGUGCGCCCCGUGGCGGUGGCCGUAAGGAUGACGAUGGAGAAGACCAGGGCGGCCGCAGAUCAUGGAAGGACACGCUGCUAGGCCAGAGCCGCGCCGGCAAGGAGAAGGUGGGGGAGCAGGAGAGCUCCUCCAGGCGCCGUAGCCGCUCACCGCCGGGGCAGCGCUGCUCGGAGAGCUCGCGCGGCCGUCGCAGCUCCGCCCGUCAUCAAGCUGCGGUCACCGGGGGUGCUACCCUCCAUGCGCCGCGCCCCCUACCCCCGCUGGCUGCGGCUGCGGCCGCCACGGACCAAGACCCGAUCGCUGAUUUCUUUGCCGGCGCCAAGACCCAGCUCCCGCAGCCACCACCUUUCGACUGCAUGGCUGCUGAGCUGGAGGCUCACGUGUCUGCCGCCGUCGCGACCCCACUGGAGUUCAACGACCAAGUCAACCGCGUCAACAAGGCGGACGCGGGCCUGCCAGACGCCUUCGGCCCAACCUUGGCGGGCCCAGCUAUUGCGGUGGGCCUCCUCAGUCGCAAGGAGCCGGCCCGCGCCGCAGCGGUGGAGGUGCAGCUCGGAGCCGUAACGCAACAGGUAUGCUGCCUAUAGCUGGGUGCAGAGGGCGAAGAUUCAGACCUGAACGCGGCCCUGCUGCGCCUCUUCCAAGCCUUCAAGCCGCCGCUGGUGCCCGACGCACCGGUGCGACGCUCGUCGGCCCCGCCAAAGACCAGGGCCACGCCUGCCCCGGUGCGCCAUAGUGCCUGCCAGGCGGCAAAUCCGUCGACGGUGCCAGUUGCGCAGCGGGGGACGCUGCGACUUGUGCGCGAGCUGGGGCUACUUGGCCCGAAGGAGAAGAUGACCACCAAGGCUGCUGAGAAGUUGCUCCGGAAAUUCGACGAGCCGCUCACCGACGACGACAUCGCCUGCAUCGCCAAGCUGACUCGCCUCAACAAGGAGGCGCUGCGCGUAGCGGCCUCCAUGGCCGGCGCGGAUGGAGUGGCCGAGGAGGCCGUAGUCUGGUCAUGUUAGUGCAAGCUAUUAGGUCUAUCCAACGGCGCCCGGCCAUAAGCGGGGUUGACUUAGGGCUCGAUGUUUCUCUUGUAGGGCUAGUGGUUACGAGUAGCUGGCGUUGCUGCAAUUUGGGGCCUAUUGGUGGGCAGCAACGUUCCCUGAAUGUUGGGGGAGUGUUCUUGUUGUGGUCAGUACUUCUAUCUUCAAUCAAUGAAACUAGUAGCCGUUGGAGGAUGAUCAGGUGUUCCCAUGGAUGACAACCACUGUCCGAUAGUUAGUUGGAAUGUACGCGGGCUUAACAUGCUAGCCAAGCGUGACGCUGUCUGCGAAGCGGUCACGGCGCAUCGACCAGCAAUUGUAUGUCUUCAGGAGACGAAAAUUGACACUUGGUCGCCGGCUCUAGUUAGGGAUAUAGGAGGUAGCAGGCUAGCCGACUGCGUAGUGCUGCCUGCGAUCGGGUCCAGGGGCGGGGUGGCCAUUCUUUGGGAUAGCGAGAUUGUCUCGAUCGUGUCCCAGGCAAUAGGAGAAUUUGCCAUCACUACAAAGGUAACGAUCAGGCAAUCGGCCACCACAUUUUGGCUGACCGCGGUCUAUGGUCCGGCAGACGACAGUCGGGAGGAUGCUUUCCUUUUGGAGCUAGCAAGAUCUGCCCCCCCCCCCCUGGCGAACCUUUGCUCCUCAUUGGUGAUUUCAACAUAAUUUACGAAGCUAGAGAUAAGAACAAUUUCAACCUUAAACGGCGCAUCAUGGGAAAGUUUAGAGCGGCACUAGAUGUGGCAGGCUUGCGGGAAAUCAAAUGUAAAAACAGGCGAUUCACCUGGAGUAACGAGCGGCAAAACCCAACGCUGGUUAGUAUAGAUAAAUUCUUCUGCACUAUGAGCUGGGAACUUCUCUUCCCCGCCUAUGGCUUAAUGGCCGCAGCCACGGCGUGCUCCGAUCACUGCCCGUUGGUCUUAGCGCCAUGCGAAGCUCCGAUCCAUCGUGCUCGCUUUAGAUUUGAAUCCUUCUAGCCACAGUUCCCGUGCUUUCACAUUACCGUGGAGCGCGCCUGGAGCAGGCCGGUUCAGCAGCGUUGCGCGUUUGCGCGUCUGCAGGUCAAGGUGGCCAAGGUGGCGCACGAUCUGAAGAUAUGGAGCAGAUCGUUGUUUAGCGACGCCAAGACCCAAUUCCAUAUAGCCAGUGAGGUCAUCCUUCGACUUGAUGUGGCGCAGGAGACGCGAACACUGUCAGUUGCAGAGUUCAACCUGCGCAAACUGCUCAAGCUAAGGCUGGUGGGGCUGGCGGCAAUCGAGCGGGCUAGAAGGAGGCAAGCCUCCAGGGUUCUUUGGCUGCGAGCAGGCGAUGCCAGCAUGAAGUUCUUCCAUGCCAAGUGUUGUUCCCGAAGGCGCAAAAACUUCAUCCAUUCAAUCCAGAGCGACGAUCGCUGUGCCACGGCGCAUGGUGACAAGGAGCAGCUAAUACACGACCACUUCAGCAGCAUGAUGGCAGCAGGCGCGGGACGACGCGUCACUCUGAACUGGAGAGAGCUGCAGCUACCAAGGGUUGAAGCAGCAGGGCUGGACAAUCCAUUCACAGAGGGAGAGGUCUGGGCAGCAAUCAUGCAGUCACCAGCGGAGAAGGCGCCAGGCCCUGAUGGCUUCAAUGGAACUUUCUUCAGGGCCUGCUGGUCGAUCAUCAGUGCAGAUCUCAUGGCAGCUUUCCACCAAUUCUACCGCCUGGCGGGCGGGAACCUUGAUGUUUUGAACUUGGCCUUUGUUGCCCUGCUGCCGAAGAAAGAUGGAGCUGUGCGGAUGACAGAUUUUCGCCCGAUUAGUCUAGUCCACUGCUUUGCAAAGCUAGUCACAAAGGUGCUGUCAAUUCGGCUCUCCAAAGUUAUCAACAAGAUCGUCUCCCAUCCUCAGUCAGCCUUCCUGAAGACGAGAUGCAUACAGGACAGUUUCCUCUAUGUCCAAAAUGGAGUGAGGGCUCUGCAUCGAUCCAAAACCCCAGCGAUGUUACUCAAACUGGACAUCUCAAAAGCCUUUGACAGCGUGUCCUGGGACUACCUGCUAGAGCUGCUGCAGGAAUUGGGGUUCAGUGCCAGAUGGAGGGACUGGAUCGCCUGGCUGUUGGCAACAUCAAACUCGGAGUUCAUGCUUAAUGGAGUGCCAAGGAGGAAGAUUAAACACCGCAAGGGCCUGCAACAGGGCGACCCGAUGUCCCCACUGCUGUUUAUUCUGGCCAUUGACCCGUUGCAGCGCCUAAUCGAUGCAGCAGUUCAACAACAGAUGACGCAGCCACUGCCGAGGAGGGAGUUGAAGCUGCGAGUUAGCCUGUACGCAGAUGACGCAGUGGUGUUCAUGAACCCAGUGAAAGAAGAGAUGGAGGUGCUAACCACCAUACUGAACCUGUUCGGCGAGGCCACGGGUCUAAAGAUUAACAGGCAUAAAUCAACAGCGACCCCAAUCAGAUGUGAAGAACUGGAUGUCCAGCAAAUUCUACAAAGCUUUGGAGGAAUCAUCACAAAUUUCCCGCUAAAGUACUUGGGGCUCCCGCUAACUCUGACUAGAACUAGACUUGUGCACCUCCAGUAUGUUUUGGACCGAAUCAGAGCGCGGCUAGCGGGAUGGAAGGGCAUGCUUAUGUCCAUUGCGGGCCGGCGAGUCCUCGUCAGAGCAGUCCUAACUGCAAUCCCUGCGUUUGCAAUGACAGUGCUUCGCAUGCCCAAGAAAUUCUUCAGAGAAAUUGACAAGGUCAGGCGGCACUUCCUGUGGGCACAAGAGAAUGAGCUUUCCGGAGGCAAAUGCAAAGUUAGCUGGAGCAAAGUGUGCUCACCGGUGGAUAAGCAGGGACUUGGCAUCCUUAACCUUGAGUGCUUUAGCAGGGCCCUGCGGCAACGUUGGCUAUGGCAAUCCUGGAAGCACCCAGAAAAGCCAUGGGUGGGCAUGGAGGUGCCGUGCACUGCCUCUGAUCGGUUGUUUUUCAGCACGGCCACCUCGGUUACGAUUGGUAAUGGACAGACGGCAAGGUUUUGGACCUACUCCUGGCACCAGGCCGGUGCACUGCACCUCCUCUUUCCAGCGUUGUACCAGCACUCCAGGAGGAAGAACAGAUCGGUAGCAGAUGCCAUACGGGAUGAUCAAUGGAUCCUCGACCUUUCGCACGGGCAGACAGAUCAAAUAGUACGGGACUGCGUUGCCCUGGCAAGACUGCUACGACUGCUGCCCGUAAGCCUCGUUUCUGACACGAGUGACGAGAUCAGAUGGAACUUGGAGGGCACCGGCUGCUACACUGCUGCUUCGGCUUACCGGGCGCAAUUCCAAGCGAACCUCAACUCCACAUACCCGCAGCUAAUCUGGAAGACUUGGGCGCCAGGGAAACUGAAGAUUUUCUUUUGGCUGCUCCUGCUAAAUAGGCUCUGGUGCAAUGAUCGACUGCAGCGAAGAGGAUGGCCUAAUGCAUACUUCUGUCAGUUCUGCUUCAGAAACCUCGAGACGGCUGACCACAUCUUCUGGUCCUGCCCCUUCACUCUCACAAUUUGGAACAUCAUUUCGUUUUGGAAGGGCUGUGAAGCUCUGCGUUUGCAGCCUGAUGAACAGCCCACAAGCAGCGCCGAGAGGAUCAUGAGCAUUGUCCAGGCCUCAGAACCAGUGUUCAGGAAGGGCAUAAAGUCACUCACAAUGCUAGCAGCCUGGGAAAUUUGGAAACACAGGAACGAUUGCACUUUCAGGGGGAAGGAGGCAUAUGAGACAGUAAUCUUGCAGGCCAUCAGGCGAGGCAUCGAGCUAUGGAGGCAGGCCGGAGCAACAUGCCUGAUGCAUCCAUUCACGCUGCCACCGGAAGGGAUAGGCUGAGUAGAGCUGGCGUUGAGACGUGUCGCCAUGUUUUUUCUUCAGUUUCCGGUUUCCAGUUUUCAGUUAUUCCUUUGAUCAUUCCGAUCACCCCAUGUAUUUGACUUUUCUCCACUGCUUCCUGCUAUGAUCAACAUGAAAAGCCAGCCAAGCUGGAUCUUUCAAAAAAAAUAUUCUUAGUUUAUCCUCCUUUGGUUUUCAGAAGAAAAAAAAUGAAAUCGCGUUUUAAUUUGUCUGACCCUUUUUUGUUGCUGCUCCAUAAGGUCCUCCCGGCGCCUCACACUUGCCGCCGUGCCAUCUCUCCAUCCAGAGUGCCCCGAGGCUCCCUCCCACCAUUCCUUCCCCCGCGGCAGUGUCACCAUGGACCACGGAGCAAAGUCUCGACCGCGGCGGCGCUGUCGUGUUGAGGAGGGAGGAUCAAGAAGGGGGGUGGAGCUGGGGCGACGGCCACACGGAAGGAGCCGGGAGCAUGCCAGAGCGGCACUCAGUUUGCUCAGGUGCCGCUGUGCAGUCGUAUCUACGAGCAGGUAUAUUUGGAAUUGGAGGAAACAUAUCCUGAUUACUCUCUGGUUUUAUCUACUUUGUCUCGUUUGCUUGCUUCAACUCAUGGCGUUCUCAUCCAUGGAGCCUGCGGCCGGGUGGGGAGCUCCUCGCAAGUUGUGGCGACGGCUGAAAUAAAUUGCGCUCGUUCAUGUGGUCGACAGUGAGGAAAAAGCACAUGUUUUUUUGGUUGAGGUUGCUCUGCACUUGUUCGUAGCAAUACCAAACAACGGUAGAAACUUCAUUUGUUUGUCAGGCUUGUUUGUGGUUUUACUAAACUUCUUUGUCAGGCUUGUUUGUGGUCUUUCUGCUGAACUUCAUUUGUAGAUAUUGCACAAAAGCAUGAUGACGACUACGAGCCCGCCCCGUCGCCGCCGCGCCCCUGCUGCUUCCGCAGUGCACCGCUAUUCUUACACCUGCAGCCUUCACAGCCUGCCUCUACCGCUCCCGCCAGCACCCCGUCGCGGCUGUCGUCGCCGGAGAGACACCCACCGCCGGCACAGGCGCAUGAGCCAUCGCCGCCGGAGAUAAGUCAGAGACCCGGAGCCCCCAUCCUGGUAUUGGACCUUCCAAUUCAAGGCACCUUCCACCUAAUACUGGAGUAAGUGGUAUGGCACUCUCUCUCCUUUCCGGAUGGGCCGAUGGAUAAGAUGCAUUUUUGUCCCCUCUUUGAAUUGAGUACAAGCAUGUAUCUGAACUUUUACCCACUUCUCUUCUGUCGAUGGGCACGAUGUGGUGCAGGUUCCACAGAUUCAGGAAAAGCAGGGCUGAAUGGAAUCCAACGGAACUAAUGUUGCAGCUAUAGCAUCCGAUAUUUAGUGAUACAUGUUUAAUUCGGUGAUAACAGGUAUAUCAUCCCAUAUUGUUUCACUUGCAUGGUUCUGUUCCAUUGAUGUUGUAGCUGGUACUUGCCAGUCUCUAUGGAGUAUAGGUACGAGUGGAGUAAGUGAGAAGAGUACAUUAUUGUAGGUUGCAUGUACUUGUUGUAGUUACCUAAACCAUGCAAAAAUGGACAGAUUUUUCAACAUAUGAAGCUGUUAUUAGCUAACAUCUCUUCUUUUUUCUCAUUUAGUUGCAUUACUGGAAGGUGGGUCAGGGCGCAGUGUUGAAUCAUCUUGAUUGGCCCGAGAGAAAUGAGGACGCUGCGACAGGCAACCUUUUGCUUACUAACCUCGCAAAUAUUUGAAGCGUAAGUCUCUAACUACGAAAAUGAUCUCAAAACCUUUCAUGUGACAUUGCACCUAUGAUAUGGAGAGUAUGACGAAUUAUACAAAAAGAAAAUAUAAUUUAUGGUAAUAGAAUUACAUGUAGUACUUAAUAUUUAUUACCCGUAUGAAGCAAAGUGUCUACAACCUUUAUAACUACAGCAGUUUAACUUUGAUACUCGGCAAUAGGUAUGCCGAGCUUUGCGGUUUGCCACUUCCUGAAGUAAGUAGAAAUAGGAGUUCCAGUUUCUUGAUUUUCAGGAAACUGAGGAGGAGCGUUUGAGUAAAGAGGAGAGGAAUGGUUGGGAAGCAAAUAAGAGGAAAAGGAGAGGAAAAGCAGGAGGAUGAACUGCUAAAAUAUAGCUAUGAUCCCAUGAGUAUAUUAUAAAUAUCAUUUUAGUUUGUUGUCUUUUUAUUGAUUUUUCUUUGUGAUAAUAAUUGAGAAAUAAAGAAUAAUUAUGGCAUGUCAAAUAUUACCAUACUACCAGAUAUUUUUUAUUAUAUUUAGACAUUUCCAUUUUGGGUAGACAUGUGUUAUGUUUCUUAACAUUUUCUUCUUCUUGAUCUCGACUUACUUUGGACAUGCAAAGUGAGGACUUGGAUGUCUGCACACUCUAAUUUGGCUCUGAAGUUUCAAUUUGGAUAUUUGUCUCUUCUAGGUGACUUGUAAUGCAAAUUCUCUAUAAAUACAUUCAUGGAGCUAGGUGAAAACUAAGGGGACUUAUAGCAUGGCUACGGAAAAAGCUAAUAAGUGAUCACUAGGCAGUAGCACCAUAUGUUACAUAUAACUGGGUCAAGCUUUCAUCUUAUUUGGUGCCUCCUUCAUGUGUCCGUGUGUCCAUGUAUGGAUGAAAAACUAUGUAAAUAUUUGACAACUAUUUUGAUAAUUAUUUGAUGUCAAGUGAGACGUGCGUUGCACGUGCAAGCUUACUAGUUGAAGAAAGUGCAAUAUUCAGACGCCGGAUGCAGACAUUAACAUCUCUUUACUCACCCGCGUGCAAAAUCCUUCCAUGAAAUUCCAUUUAUAAAUACUCUUAUCCAAAGCCUUCCCUUCAAGUAUAUGCUAUUUAUUCAGUCUCUUUGUGUUGCUCAGUCGUCUUGUCUAUUGGAUACUUUCUUGUGCUUCCGGUUUAAUGGGAUUUUAACGCAUGAUCGAUGCUCCGCUUUAAUCAUCACCAUGGAAAGUUUACCCAUGCAUGUCAUCUGCCCGUGAGCCCUCCUUUAAUUAUUAUGCGAACAAACACGAGUGAUGUGCUAAAUCGAUGGUGCAACUUCCAUCCUUAAGAAUGCAUAGCAGCCCCACAAUCCUCAGGAUUUAUCAUUUCUUCAUGGCAGCCCAGUUAAUUUCUUCCCAUGAUCUUCAGAUUUUGUUCUCAUUUGGUUUUAAAGUGAUAGAUGAAUUUUCUACUCCCUCCGUCCCAAAAUUCUUGUCUUAGAUUAGUCUAGAUACGGAUGUAUCUAAUACCAAAACGUGACUUGAUACAUCCGUAUUUAGACAAAUCUAAAACAAGAAUUUUGGGACGGAACGAGUACAAAAUUACGCUCUGUUCAUCCCAUCACUUGUGAAUUUUGCAAUAGGGUUUUGGUCAUCUUAAUUUCCAAUGGAAAUUUUUUUCAUGAUCAAAUCAUGUCCAAAUAUUGUAAUGACUUGAUCACCCUUUUACUUUAUAAUGAAUUUUGUUUAUUUUUGAGGUGUGAAGAAUAUUUAUGUGCAUUUUAAUUUAUUGGACCAAGAACUUUGUUUGAUAUGAUGCACUUUUGGUUGUAGGAUUAUAAAGUUUGACUGAUAUGAUGCACUUUUGGUUGUACAAAUCUGAAAACAUUGCUUUACAUGAUGAGUUUGAUGUUCAAAUGCGGUUGUAUAUUGGCUGUACAUUGGUUGUACACAGCCGCACAUCCGGUUUUACAUCUUCACAUAUGCACCAUCUAUUGGAGUUGGAGUUCUACAUCACAAAUCUGUUGGAGGCGAUAAUAUGGAUCAGAGGGAGUAGCAAGAAUCAUCAUUAUGCACCACAGGAGGUGGUGUAACACGGCCUUAGCACAAGAAUAGUCCAAAACUACAGUCACAACAACAAUAAUACUCAAGCUGCUACUGAUGGAGAAUGCGUUAAAUACGCAGGGUUGGAUGUCUACAGGUGAAGGUGUCUACAGGUGAAGGUGUCUACAGCGUUAAAUACGCAGGGUUGGAUGUCUACAGGUGAAGGUGUUCCAGCGGCACUGCAAGCAGCAAUGCCAAUUCUCAUCCAGAUUAUGAGCGGUUGUAUUUCAGUUUGCAUUAGAGACCAUGAUAUCAAACAAGUCAGAACUCUAAGACCAAGACAUGUUGGACACUGACACAUUGUUAUAGUGAACAUAUCAGAUAUAAAAAGCUUAGUAAAAAGAAAGAUAUCAGCAGCUUAUAAUAAAUAAAUAAAAUAAAUAAAUAAAAUAAAUAAAUAAACAAACAAUACCAGACAUCAGGAACUUGCAAAAACAAGGUACGUAGAAAGACAAUGUGGCAAAUGGCCAAAUAUAUUAACCAAUAUAGGUUAUGAGUUUGCUCCUCUCACAAUUUAUCCGCAAUUCGAACAAUUGCAAAAAUGUUACAGGUAUCGUCGUAGCCCUCUUAGAAACCUAAGCAGACGGAGGUAGGAUAAAGAUAUUAACUUCCUAAACUGGGUACACAAAAAAGUAGAAGAAACCUGAUGCAGAACAAAUCUAC
RNAcentral lists this long non-coding RNA (18073 nucleotides) under Triticum aestivum (bread wheat). RNAcentral's name for it is "long non-coding RNA (TAES_LNC007504)". The stretch from base 16774 to 16908 matches the Rfam family "MIR1120/MIR1122 microRNA precursor family". The record is from RNAcentral. Lineage: Eukaryota; Viridiplantae; Streptophyta; Magnoliopsida; Poales; Poaceae.